This 2136-nucleotide long non-coding RNA is filed under the name Gossypium barbadense (sea-island cotton). RNAcentral describes it as "long non-coding RNA (GBAR_LNC019792)". The record is from RNAcentral. Lineage: Eukaryota; Viridiplantae; Streptophyta; Magnoliopsida; Malvales; Malvaceae.
UUUUCAAAUUCAUUAUUUUUAAAUUUAUUUACAUUUUAUUUUGCCUUAUAUAUUUUUAAAUUCAUUGGUCUUUGAUUGUUGAUGCUAGUAUUUAAAUAAUUGCCAUUAUGUGUUUUAUAAUUUGUUUAUUUGUAUUUUAAUAUUGACUUUUUUUAUCAAAGUUUUUUACGUAUCGUUUUAAUAUUGCAUCAAUUUGCCCCAAUUUUAAAAAAGAAAACUUUUAAAAAUAAGGCAAUAUUUGAUACUUUGGAGCUUUAAAAAAAUCGUGCCCUAACUUACUGGGUUUCGAUUUUUUUGAUAUAAAUAACCGAAUAUCCUCUUUAAACUUUAAUGCAUAAUGCAAGCUUAGUUUCGAGAGUUAAAAUAUUAUAUCCUAACUUACUAGAUGUGACAUCUUAUUACUUCGGAACAAGGAGGUCUUAACAUCAUAUUUGAUUUAUUCAGAUUUUUCAAGUUUUUUAAAGAUCAUAUUUUAAAAUCUUUUUAAAUUUUCGACAUUAAGACGUUAAUUAAUUAAUUAGGUAUCAAUUUUUGGGCGUUACGAGAGUGCUAAUCUUUCCUCGUGUGUAAUCGACCCCCGAGCUCAUUUUCUCGAAUUUUGUAGACCAAAUUCAUUAUUUUAAUAAAUAAAAAUGUUUUAUUAAAAUGAUUAAUCUCAAGGUGACCUGAUCACACCUCAAAAAAAGAUUGGUGGCGACUCCAUUUUCGUUUUAAAAGUUGACCCUGUUUUUCAAAAUAAAAAUAGUUUCGACGGAGUCAAGAUUAGGAACAAAUCUUUCUUGUAUCUGGAAGAGCGUUUGGGCGGCGAAAGGAUGGCUUAAAUUAGGCAUGUGUUGGAGGGUGGGAAUGGGAAUUAGAAUAUUGAUCUGGAAUGAUGCCUGGGUGAAAAACUUGGAGAACUACAAGCUUCAAAGAAAUGUAAUGGGUCAAAUUUAAGAUUGGUGCUACUAUAAGAAUCUACAAAUUUGGUGCCUAAUCUCUACCAAAUUUCAUCCAAGCAAGUGUUCAAGAAACUAUGGCAGACAGAGCUACCGAAAAAAUAAAAAUUACAUUCUGGAGAGUUUACAAAAACUUCAUUCCUACUUACAACAAUCUACAAAAAAGAAGAUUGAGGAGCUCGGCAGCAUGUCCUAGAUGCUCUAAUGGAGAAGAGUACCUAGAACAUGUUUUUCGUGAUUGUCAAGCUGUCAAGUAAAUAUGGAGCAUGUUAAAUGUCAAAUGGCCUACAAACAAUUCAAAUGAGUGUUAUAGACAGUGGAUGGAUUGGUUGUUCAUAGAAUAUUCUACAAAUAUAUGCAGGAUAACAAUAUGUGCAAUUUGGGCGAUCUGGGAGACAGAAACAAACAGGUGCAUGAAAGAAAAUAUCGAUAGAAUACAGAAAAGGUGCAUUUUAUCACAUCAUUCUUACAGGAACUUGAAGAGGUAAAAGUUCGUCACCUGUCAGACGUACUCAACCAGAGAGAUGGGGCCACCAGAAACGUCUUUUGUGAAGAUAAACUUCGAUGCAUCUUUUCUAGGUUGUUCGUACAAAUCCUGUUCGAGGUUGGUGGGGCGAGAGUUAGAAGGAAAAAAAUUUGGGAAUGAGAAUGAUAAUAAACAAUCAUGUACCAACCUCUUUUGCGGCAGAAGCGAUUAGGUGCCUCCAAGGAAUCCAAAUGGGUCUGGAUCUAGGAUUUCGGAAAGUGGUGGUUGAAGAGGAUAGUAUCAAUGUGAUAAAGAAACUGCAAAACCAAAAGGAAGACAUGUCUAUGAUUAGAGAUUACAUAGAAGAUGCGAGAAUAGAAAGUCGAGAUUUUGAGGAAUGCAUGUUCAGAUAUGUUGGAAGAAAUGCUAAUGAAACUGCCAAUUGACUAGCAAAAGAAAGUAUAAGUAGAGGAGAAACCACUUAUUUGAUGGAGAGAAUGCCCACGUCUGUGAUGGAAGCGGCAAAGGAAGACAACCAAUGAUCUGAGAUGAUGGAACAACUGGGAAAUGGCAACCGUCGAGGGAAUUUGGGGAUGGGUUCAGGAGAGAUGGAAAUGUUUUCUUAAAGAGAGUGUUCUAUUCCAUUAAGAAGCUGUUGAUUUUAUCUCUUCUGCUUUGGGUAGGUAGGUGCUCUUUUCUAGGCGGGUCUUUGUGCAUUUUACUAGGCUUGGC